UAGGGAAUCUUCCGCAAUGGGCGAAAGCCUGACGGAGCAACGCCGCGUGAGUGAAGAAGGUUUUCGGAUCGUAAAGCUCUGUUGUUAAGGAAGAACGAGUGUGAGAAUGGAAAGUUCAUACUGUGACGGUACUUAACCAGAAAGGACCGGCUAAUUACGUGCCAGCAGCCGCGGUAAUACGUAAGGUCCGAGCGUUGUCCGGAAUCAUUGGGCGUAAAGGGUACGUAGGCGGGUAAGCAAGUUAGAAGUGAAAUCCUGUAGCUCAACUACAGUAAGCUUUUAAAACUGCUCAUCUUGAGAUAUGGAAGGGAAAGUGGAAUUCCUAGUGUAACGGUGAAAUGCGCAGAUAUUAGGAGGAAUACCGGUGGCGAAGGCGACUUUCUGGCCAUAAUCUGACGCUGAGGUACGAAAGCGUGGGUAGCAAACAGG
This 429-nucleotide ribosomal RNA is filed under the name Bacteroidota bacterium. RNAcentral's name for it is "Bacteroidetes bacterium partial 16S ribosomal RNA". It matches the Rfam family "Bacterial small subunit ribosomal RNA", at positions 355 to 776 of the family's 1533-position model. The record is from RNAcentral. Lineage: Bacteria; Pseudomonadati; Bacteroidota.